AUUGAACGCUGGCGGAAUGCUUUACACAUGCAAGUCGAACGGCAGCAUAGAGAGCUUGCUCUCUGAUGGCGAGUGGCGAACGGGUGAGUAAUAUAUCGGAACGUACCCAGUAAUGGGGGAUAACGAAUCGAAAGAUUCGCUAAUACCGCAUACGCCCUCCGGGGGAAAACGGGGGAUCGUAAGACCUCGCGUUAUUGGAGCGGCCGAUAUCUGAUUAGCUAGUUGGUGAGGUAAAGGAUCACCAAGGCGACGAUCAGUAGCUGGUCUGAGAGGACGACCAGCCACACUGGAACUGAGACACGGUCCAGACUCCUACGGGAGGCAGCAGUGGGGAAUUUUGGACAAUGGGGGCAACCCUGAUCCAGCCAUUCCGCGUGAGUGAAGAAGGCCUUCGGGUUGUAAAGCUCUUUCGCAAGGGAAGAAAACUUAUCUACUAAUACUAGGUGAGGCUGACGGUACCUUGAUAAGAAGCACCGGCUAACUACGUGCCAGCCGCCGCCGUAA
Molecule: ribosomal RNA, 504 nt
Filed under: uncultured bacterium
Lineage: Bacteria
Description: partial 16S ribosomal RNA
Rfam family: Bacterial small subunit ribosomal RNA
Source: RNAcentral